RNAcentral lists this ribosomal RNA (254 nucleotides) under uncultured bacterium. Its description in RNAcentral is "partial 16S ribosomal RNA". It matches the Rfam family "Bacterial small subunit ribosomal RNA", at positions 524 to 776 of the family's 1533-position model. The record is from RNAcentral.
UACGAAGGGGGCUAGCGUUGUUCGGAAUCACUGGGCGUAAAGCGCACGCAGGCGGAUCGUUAAGUCAGGGGUGAAAUCCCGAGGCUCAACCUCGGAACUGCCUUUGAUACUGGCGAUCUUCGAGUCCGGGAGAGGUGAGUGGAACUCCGAGUGUAGAGGUGAAAUUCGUAGAUAUUCGGAAGAACACCAGUGGCGAAGGCGACUCACUGGCCCAUUACUGACGCUGAGGCGCGAAAGCGUGGGGAGCAAACAGG